Molecule: small nucleolar RNA, 107 nt
Organism: Ipomoea nil (Japanese morning glory)
Lineage: Eukaryota; Viridiplantae; Streptophyta; Magnoliopsida; Solanales; Convolvulaceae
Rfam family: Plant small nucleolar RNA R71
About the family: R71 is a member of the C/D box family of snoRNAs containing the C (UGAUGA) and D (CUGA) box motifs. Multiple nearly identical copies of this snoRNA have been identified in Arabidopsis, and it is thought to function as a 2'-O-ribose methylation guide for 18S ribosomal RNA.
Source: Rfam
AUAUUAUGAUGAGGGCAUUAUCUUUGUAGAUCUUUGUAUCUCUUCCAUGCUUCAUACAAGGACUCAGAAGGCAUUUGUCUAAACUGUUGGAUUUGUUUCUUCAACCU